ACACUCCUGAAAAGUCCAACAAUAGGACGAAACGGCCGUCCAGUGC
Non-coding RNA from Schistosoma curassoni, 46 nucleotides. NCBI's taxonomy places the organism in Eukaryota, Metazoa, Platyhelminthes, Trematoda, Strigeidida, Schistosomatidae. The record is from Rfam.